RNAcentral lists this long non-coding RNA (273 nucleotides) under Drosophila guanche. Lineage: Eukaryota; Metazoa; Arthropoda; Insecta; Diptera; Drosophilidae. The record is from RNAcentral.
AUCCGAACAAUAUACAAUUUUAUAUGUAUGUACAUAAGUGGAUUCGGGACACAGGAGCUUCUCUCAACUGGUAAAUGCUCUCGUUGGACAGGACUUGCCAUAAGAUAUUUAUGGGAAAAGCUUGGUGAGAAAGAGAGGAGAUACGCCGGGUACAUAAUGUUUUUUGUUUAUUCCCCCACAUCUGUCUCUCAUUAGCUACCCUUACACCAACACCAGCAAUGGGGUAUUGUCCAUAAUGCUACGCGGCAGCAGAUACUCGGCCUGAGCUUGGUG